This 764-nucleotide long non-coding RNA is filed under the name Rattus norvegicus (Norway rat). RNAcentral's name for it is "long non-coding RNA NONRATT005675". The record is from RNAcentral. Lineage: Eukaryota; Metazoa; Chordata; Mammalia; Rodentia; Muridae.
CCCAGCAGACCAGCUGUCUGUCCCACGUCCUGACCUGGCCAUGACCUUGCCGGAUCCUUCUCCAGACCUGAAAGCCCCAGCCUGUACUUCUGACCUCCCGAUGUGACCGGCUCUCUGAGUCAACUAUCAUGUUUUACAUGCAGGAAAAGAUUUGGGCAAGGGGGACUCUGAGUCCCAGGGGGCUCAGGGAGAAGUUAGGGAGCUCGUCUGCCCCAGAGACAGAAGGGGGUUGUGUGGUGGGGAGCAGAGGUAACUGCAGAAUGGUGGGUGGGUACUGUCUGUCUUGGGUCACAGUACAGUGCCUUCCUGGGCAUGGUGGAAAGGCUGCUCUUCCAGGAAUAUCCCAGCAUCCUCAAGGUUGAAUGCCUUUGCAUUUCUGACACAUCUGCUGGCCCAGGCCUAGGGAGCUCUGUCCCUUCUGCCAGGGUCCUCUCAGGAGGCUCAGGAUGCUGGAAGCUCCAAGUUAGAGCUAGGUGUUCCAGGACCCGGGUGCAUGCUCCCUUGACUGUAGUCUCAAGGUUUUUCCUUUCUAACUCUAUUCAAGCUGCUGAUCAUCUUUGUGGUUGGAGAAGCCCUGGUAGUGGGCAGCCAGGAGUCUGGAGUCCAGUGCAGGAGGACUCAGGUCUCCACUUUUGUGAGAUUUUGGAAAAGACAAAGUUUAAGCCAUCUCUUAGGCGAGAGAGAGGGGAGUGAUGUAGCGGACUUGGCAAGUUUUGGUCAGUCAAGUAUGUGGUGGAAACAAUCUAGUGUUCUUCCACCUCCGU